Molecule: ribosomal RNA, 542 nt
Filed under: Scaeurgus unicirrhus
Lineage: Eukaryota; Metazoa; Mollusca; Cephalopoda; Octopoda; Octopodidae
Description: partial 16S ribosomal RNA
Rfam family: Bacterial large subunit ribosomal RNA
Source: RNAcentral
GUCUCUUUGAAUUUUUUUAAUAAAGAGUUGGGCCUGCUCGGUGAAUGUAGUUUAACAGCUGCGGUAUUAUAACUGUACUAAGGUAGCAUAAUAAUUUGCCUUAUAAAUUAGGGCUAGAAUGAAUGGUUUGACGAGAAUUUAACUGUCUCUAUUUUAUUUAUUAGAAGUUAAUUUUUAUAGUGAAAAAGCUUGGAUGAUUUAAAGGGACGAGAAGACCCUAUUGAGCUUGAUAUUAAUAUUUAAAUAUAGGGUUUUAUGUUUAUAAUUAAUUAUUUAUUAUAUAAAUGUUUAUUGGAGUGUAAUUUUGAUUGGGGUGAUCAAGGAAUAAAAAUUUAAUUUUGUAACUUCCUUAAAGUAGAUUUAUUUUAUUGAAUAAUAAACCAAAAUUUUUUGCUUAUAUGAUAAGUUACCAUAGGGGUAACAGCGUAAUUUUUUUUAAGAGUUCAUAUUGAAAAAAAAGAUUGCGACCUCGAUGUUGGAUUAAAAAUAACCUUAAGGUGUAGAGGCUUUAUUAGGUGAAUCUGUUCGAUUUUUAAAAUUUU